GCCAGCACGUAAUGGUGGGAACUCAUGGGAUACUGCCGGGGUCAACUCGGAGGAAGGUGGGGAUGACGUCAAAUCAUCAUGCCCCUUAUGUCUUGGGCUUCACGCAUGCUACAAUGGCCGGUACAAAGGGCUGCAAUACCGUGAGGUGGAGCGAAUCCCAAAAAGCCGGUCCCAGUUCGGAUUGAGGUCUGCAACUCGACCUCAUGAAGUCGGAGUCGCUAGUAAUCGCAGAUCAGCAACGCUGCGGUGAAUACGUUCCCGGGUCUUGUACACACCGCCCGUCAAGUCAUGAAAGUCGGUAACACCUGAAGCCGGU
RNAcentral lists this ribosomal RNA (316 nucleotides) under Microbacterium laevaniformans. RNAcentral describes it as "bacterial SSU rRNA". It matches the Rfam family "Bacterial small subunit ribosomal RNA", at positions 1117 to 1431 of the family's 1533-position model. Lineage: Bacteria; Bacillati; Actinomycetota; Actinomycetes; Micrococcales; Microbacteriaceae. The record is from RNAcentral.